CAUCACAUAGCUUAAAGAAAGCAUCUUGCUUACACCAAGAAAAUGCCAGUGAAACUCUGGCUGUCUUGA
This 69-nucleotide transfer RNA is filed under the name Boana nympha. RNAcentral's name for it is "tRNA-Val". It matches the Rfam family "tRNA". From Rfam's summary of the family: Transfer RNA (tRNA) molecules are approximately 80 nucleotides in length. Their secondary structure includes four short double-helical elements and three loops (D, anti-codon, and T loops). Further hydrogen bonds mediate the characteristic L-shaped molecular structure. tRNAs have two regions of fundamental functional importance: the anti-codon, which is responsible for specific mRNA codon recognition, and the 3' end, to which the tRNAs corresponding amino acid is attached (by aminoacyl-tRNA synthetases). tRNAs cope with the degeneracy of the genetic code in two manners: having more than one tRNA (with a specific anti-codon) for a particular amino acid; and 'wobble' base-pairing, i.e. permitting non-standard base-pairing at the 3rd anti-codon position. Lineage: Eukaryota; Metazoa; Chordata; Amphibia; Anura; Hylidae. The record is from RNAcentral.